UCGAGAAUUUUUCACAAUGGGCGCAAGCCUGAUGGAGCGACGCCGCGUGGGGGAUGAAUGGCUUCGGCCCGUAAACCCCUGUCAUUUGCGAUCAAACCUUGCUAUUUAAAAGAUGGCGAGCUGAUAGUAGCGAAAGAGGAAGGGACGGCUAACUCUGUGCCAGCAGCCGCGGUAAUACAGAGGUCCCAAGCGUGGUGCGGAUUCACUGGGCGUAAAGGGUGCGUAGGUGGUGGGGUAAGUCGGAUGUGAAAUCUCGGAGCUCAACUCCGAAAUGGCAUUGGAAACUACCCUGCGAGAGGGUCGGAGGGGGGAGUGGAAUUCUCGGUGUAGCAGUGAAAUGCGUAGAUAUCGAGAGGAACACCAGUGGCGAAGGCGAGUCCCUGGACGACUCCUGACACUGAGGCACGAAAGCUAGGGGAGCAAACA
This 426-nucleotide ribosomal RNA is filed under the name uncultured bacterium. RNAcentral's name for it is "bacterial SSU rRNA". It matches the Rfam family "Bacterial small subunit ribosomal RNA", at positions 355 to 774 of the family's 1533-position model. The record is from RNAcentral.